This 93-nucleotide ribosomal RNA is filed under the name Veillonella parvula. RNAcentral's name for it is "partial 16S ribosomal RNA". It matches the Rfam family "Eukaryotic small subunit ribosomal RNA", at positions 1618 to 1710 of the family's 1831-position model. Lineage: Bacteria; Bacillati; Bacillota; Negativicutes; Veillonellales; Veillonellaceae. The record is from RNAcentral.
UAAGCGCAAGGCAUCAGCAUGCGUUGAUUACGUCCCUGCCCUUUGUACACACCGCCCGUCGCUAGUACCGAUUGAAUGGCUUAGUGAGGCCUC